This 419-nucleotide ribosomal RNA is filed under the name uncultured bacterium. RNAcentral's name for it is "bacterial SSU rRNA". It matches the Rfam family "Bacterial small subunit ribosomal RNA", at positions 10 to 446 of the family's 1533-position model. The record is from RNAcentral.
UGUUUGAUCCUGGCUCAGGGUGAACGCUGGCGGCGUGCUUGACACAUGCGAGUCGAACGGUAUGUGGCAACACAUAGAGUGGCGAACGGGUGAGUAACACGUGGGAACGUAUCUUUUGCCAGGGGGAUAACUGACCGAAAGGACAGCUAAUACCGCAUAAGUCCGAGAGGAGAAAGGUGCAACAGCAUCGGCAGAAGAGCGGCCCGCGGUCCAUCAGCUAGUUGGGGGGUAACGGCCCACCAAGGCGACGACGGGUAGCCGGCCUGAGAGGGCGACCGGCCACACUGGAACUGAGAUACGGUCCAGACUCCUACGGGAGGCAGCAGUGGGGAAUAUUGGGCAAUGGGGGAAAGCCCUGACCCAGCGACGCCGCGUGAGGGAAGAAGGCCUUCGGGUCGUAAACCUCUUUUGUACGGGAA